Populus nigra (black poplar) is the source of this 736-nucleotide long non-coding RNA. RefSeq lists it as uncharacterized. The record is from RefSeq and is a predicted model, not a curated record. NCBI's taxonomy places the organism in Eukaryota, Viridiplantae, Streptophyta, Magnoliopsida, Malpighiales, Salicaceae. The transcript is spliced from 4 exons.
CUCUCUCUGUUUUUAUCUUCUUCUUUUUUUUUUAAUACCAUAUUGGGUUAAAUUCCUGCUGCUGCUUAGUUAAGUUGGAUUGCAGGUUUUGGGCAGAAAGUUUUCAGCAGCUGUAAAAGCCAUCUUAUUGUCUGGAUUGCAGCAAACACAAUCAAAAACUGCUUUUCUGCUGAAAGAGAUUUAUCACAUGAUGAAUGUGGGAUUCAAGAUACACCUGUCUUUACAUGAUCAGCAUCUUCACAGCCCAUAAACAUUUUGAAGUGACCUUCGGUUCUGUCUGUAUUCAAUGCUGUCAUUUUGAAGUUGGAAUUACUGCCUUCUCGGAUAGUUCCUGAAAGUUACUUUCAUGCUGUACAUGCAGUGUUUUUGAAAUAUUAUUAAUUUAAGACUCUUCCACUGUUGGAUUAUAAGAAUGCGCUAUCACCAAUAAUUGAAUGGCAAGCACUAGCUUUGAUGUCUCUGCAUUAGGAGUUCCGACCGAUCAUGAGUCUUUGCCAUAUGAGCCAAGAGCAACUCAAGCUUUCUGAUUUACCAGCUGACGAGUACUGCUGCCUGUAAUAGCACAUUUAUAAGAGUUAUUUUUGAAGAAAAGGAGCCAGAUAUAUUGUUGGUUAUUCACUUAAAUUUUGCCUCCGAGCUCAAACCUGUACAGUUCUUUCUUUCUGCUAUUCAUCCGUUUUCCUGACAAGGCCGUAGCAAUUUCAAAUAAAAAACGCAAUCUCAAAUCAAUGCAAAA